This 429-nucleotide ribosomal RNA is filed under the name uncultured bacterium. RNAcentral describes it as "bacterial SSU rRNA". It matches the Rfam family "Bacterial small subunit ribosomal RNA", at positions 355 to 775 of the family's 1533-position model. The record is from RNAcentral.
UGAGGAAUCUUGCGCAAUGGGGGAAACCCUGACGCAGCAACGCCGCGUGAGUGAGGAAGGCCUUCGGGUCGUAAAGCUCUGUCAGAUGGGAAGAAAUGGAUGGGGGCUAAUAUCGUCCAUCUUUGACGGUACCAUCAGAGGAAGCACCGGCUAACUCCGUGCCAGCAGCCGCGGUAAUACGGGGGGUGCAAGCGUUGUUCGGAAUCAUUGGGCGUAAAGCGCGCGCAGGCGGCUUGGUAAGUCAGAUGUGAAAUCCCUGGGCUUAACCCAGGAAGUGCAUUUGAUACUGCCUCGCUAGAGUACGGGAGAGGAAAGUGGAAUUCCUGGUGUAGAGGUGAAAUUCGUAGAUAUCAGGAGGAACACCGGUGGCGAAGGCGACCUUCUGGCCCGAUACUGACGCUCAGGCGCGAAAGCGUGGGGAGCAAACAG